Molecule: ribosomal RNA, 245 nt
Filed under: uncultured bacterium
Lineage: Bacteria
Description: partial 16S ribosomal RNA
Rfam family: Bacterial small subunit ribosomal RNA
Source: RNAcentral
UCUAAGGAGACUGCCUCGGACAACCGGGGAGGAAGGUGGGGAUGACGUCAAGUCCGCAUGCUCCUUACGUCUAGGGCUACACACGUCCUACAAUGGGGUUGACAAUGGGAUGCAAUACCGCAAGGUGGAGCGAAUCCCCCAAACGACCCCUCAGUUCGGAUUGCAGUCUGCAACUCGACUGCAUGAAGUCGGAAUCGCUAGUAAUGGCAGGUCAGCAUACUGCCGUGAAUACGUUCCCGGGUCUU